Molecule: long non-coding RNA, 900 nt
Filed under: Marmota monax (woodchuck)
Lineage: Eukaryota; Metazoa; Chordata; Mammalia; Rodentia; Sciuridae
Source: RNAcentral
UGAUAUUAAGUUUUUUGAGUUCUUUACAUAUCCUGGAGAUUAAUGCUCUAUCUCAGGUGCAUGUAGUAAAGAUUUUCUCCCAUUCUGUAGACUCUCUUUAUGUUAUUUUUUAAUAUUCUAUUUAGAGACAGGGUCUUACUAAGAUGAUUAGGGCCUCGCUAAGUUGCUGAGACUGGCUUUGAACUUGUGAUCCUUCUGCCUCAGCCUCCUGAGCCACUGGGAUACUUCUCCUUUCUUGACACUUAGAUCAGGCACUGGAAUGCAAGAAUAUUCAUGCCUAAGGCUAUCUAGUGGUUAAGUUUGUGGCUAGGGCUGACACCCUGAGAAGUUUCAUUCAGUCCAUAUCGUGGCUCAGACACAAGCUUCUGCCUGGAAGCACCUAGCAUGAUUUUUUCUGCACUGUGAAACUAUCUCCACUGGUGGAGAAGCUUAGCAGGCUUUGCAACUAUUGGCUUCUAUUGACCAAUCAAUCACAUGCCUGACUCUUAGGACGACAGCAUAUACCCACCUCCAGGCUGGACCCCAUCUCCAGGCUGGACUGCUUGCAGUAUCUACCCUGCACUCCACAGCGUUGGGUGUUUCUUUACAUCCCAACCCUUACUCUGCUGUGCUUGUGAUCCUUCUCCCACUCCAGCAGAGCAGGGGCUUCCUUAGGACUGUGACAGUCAUUUCUUUCUCUACUCCCUGGCAAUAGUAGUUCCCCAGCCCCUUAAUAAAGUUUUAAAUGAAUAAAUGAAAGAAAGAAUGAAUGAAUGAGUACAUUUUCCUUCCUUACAGGCCUAAACCAGCACAGAUCACUUCUUCUUUUCCCCAAAAGUGUCCUUUGUUUCUUCUCCCUGAGGGGACUGUUUUAUGGGUUUCUUGAAUCCUUCCCAGGCACACAGUAGUGUAACCACAAGA